GGUGGUGUCCGGCGUUUCCCAU
This 22-nucleotide non-coding RNA is filed under the name Arabidopsis thaliana (thale cress). Lineage: Eukaryota; Viridiplantae; Streptophyta; Magnoliopsida; Brassicales; Brassicaceae. The record is from RNAcentral.